This 253-nucleotide ribosomal RNA is filed under the name uncultured bacterium. RNAcentral describes it as "partial 16S ribosomal RNA". It matches the Rfam family "Bacterial small subunit ribosomal RNA", at positions 524 to 776 of the family's 1533-position model. The record is from RNAcentral.
UACGUAGGUGGCAAGCGUUGUCCGGAAUUACUGGGCGUAAAGUGUGCGCAGGUGGCCGCGCAAGUCGAGUGUGAAAUCCCCGAGCUUAACUUGGGAAUUGCGCUCGAAACUACGUGGCUCGAGUGUGGCAGAGGAAGGUGGAAUUCCACGUGUAGCGGUGAAAUGCGUAGAUAUGCGGAGGAACACCGAUGGCGAAGGCAAUCCCCUGGGCCUGCACUGACGCUCAUGCACGAAAGCGUGGGGAGCAAACAGG